GUGAGGAAUAUUGGUCAAUGGGCGGGAGCCUGAACCAGCCAAGUCGCGUGAAGGAAGAAGGAUCUAUGGUUCGUAAACUUCUUUUGCAGGGGAAUAAAAUGCGGGACGUGUCCUGUUUUGUAUGUACCCUGAGAAUAAGGAUCGGCUAACUCCGUGCCAGCAGCCGCGGUAAUACGGAGGAUCCGAGCGUUAUCCGGAUUUAUUGGGUUUAAUGGGUGCGUAGGUGGUUUGAUAAGUCAGCGGUGAAAGUUUGCAGCUUAACUGUAAAAAUGCCGUUGAAACUGUCGGACUUGAGUGUAAAUGAGGUAGGCGGAAUGCGUGGUGUAGCGGUGAAAUGCAUAGAUAUCACGCAGAACUCCGAUUGCGAAGGCAGCUUACUAAGCUACAACUGACACUGAAGCACGAAAGCGUGGGGAUCAAACAGGAUUAGAAACCCGGGUAGUCC
RNAcentral lists this ribosomal RNA (445 nucleotides) under uncultured bacterium. RNAcentral describes it as "partial 16S ribosomal RNA". It matches the Rfam family "Bacterial small subunit ribosomal RNA", at positions 354 to 796 of the family's 1533-position model. The record is from RNAcentral.